RNAcentral lists this ribosomal RNA (343 nucleotides) under Sodreana sodreana. RNAcentral describes it as "partial small subunit ribosomal RNA". The record is from RNAcentral. Lineage: Eukaryota; Metazoa; Arthropoda; Arachnida; Opiliones; Gonyleptidae.
CCCUAUUAUUAAAAUAUAAUUUGUAAUAAGUAUUUUAUUGAAAAUUAAUAAUUUUGGCGGUUAAUUAUUAUUUGGAGGAGCUUGUGCUUUAAUGGAUUUUGCUCUUUAUAUUUUAUUAAUACUUAAUUUAUUCAUCUCCGUUAUUAAGCUAAAUGGUAAAUAUUUAAUUAGAGUAAAUGUUAUUUAAGAUUUCAGGUCAAGAUGUAGUUUUAUUAAGGGGUAUUAGCUACAUUUAUAUAAUUAGUGGAAUAUUAGCCGAUUUUUAGGGGAGUAAUGCAAAUAGGAAAUUGAAUUUAGUUGUAAUGGUAAUUAGAAUAUUAGUAUGAAUAAAUUUAGUUAAUGU